UUCGGACUGGAGUCUGCAACCCGACUCCACGAAGUUGGAUUCGCUAGUAAUCGCGCAUCAGCCAUGGCGCGGUGAAUACGUUCCCGGGCCUUGUACACACCGCCCGUCAAGCCAUGGGAGCCGGGGGCGCCUGAAGUCCGGGACCGCGAGGGCCGGCCUAGGGCGAAACUGGUGACUGGGCUAAGUCGUAACAAGGUAUC
RNAcentral lists this ribosomal RNA (200 nucleotides) under uncultured bacterium. Its description in RNAcentral is "partial 16S ribosomal RNA". It matches the Rfam family "Bacterial small subunit ribosomal RNA", at positions 1292 to 1500 of the family's 1533-position model. The record is from RNAcentral.